CUCAAAUAGCCUCUAAAGGCGGCUUGAAUUUUUGUUGCAGCCUGAUUUAAUGUGACUCGAUCACGAAGAUAAGGAUCUCGACUGUUUCUUGCUUGCAGUGACGCUUUUCGCUAGGAGUAGGGUAGAAUUAGGCUCUUAAAAUAAGUAAACAAAUAACAGAAGUGAUAAAAAGUGGAAGAAUAAGUAAUCGAUUUUAAGACUCAGUUGAUUGAAAAUAUUUCAAUGUCAGCUCAUUUGGUAGAACUGUCAGUUUUAGAAGAAUGCAAGGACAAAACACGAUGUCUGAACGGUUGAAAAGAGUAUGGAAUAAGCUAAUUCCCCCUGAAGAGUCAGUAUUGUUUCACUAUCUUUCACUUUAAGUUAAAAAGAAGGAGCAGACAGACAGCAUUCCAGCUAGGCCAAAGUGUUGAAAGCAAGUGCGUUAUGUUCAAGGUGAAAUCUUAAUUCAGAUCGAGUUAGUUUUGGCUCUCAAUGUAUCUUGAUUGGAUAGUUAAUAUUGCUAUAAAAUUAUUAUUGGCUGCUUUAGUUCUAUUUACAUCAUCAGAAUUAUGUAAGCAUCAUAUGACAUAGA
Stegodyphus dumicola is the source of this 571-nucleotide long non-coding RNA. RefSeq lists it as uncharacterized. Lineage: Eukaryota; Metazoa; Arthropoda; Arachnida; Araneae; Eresidae. The record is from RefSeq and is a predicted model, not a curated record.